Molecule: long non-coding RNA, 517 nt
Filed under: Marmota monax (woodchuck)
Lineage: Eukaryota; Metazoa; Chordata; Mammalia; Rodentia; Sciuridae
Source: RNAcentral
GGCCUCAGAUCCCCUGUGGGGCUUUCCCUUGGCGUUGCCCUUGCUGGAGCCGGGGCACCGUUCCUGGAGCGUGUCGGUGGACGUUGUCCUGGGGAUCAUCCAGUUCAGCCUUCCUGUUUCUUGUGAAAGGGGUCAAGGCUCUAAACAGAACAGGAGCUGUCCCUAGAUCGCCUCCUCAGGAGUGACAGCAUCUGAAUUAGAAAAGGGAACAUGUGACUUCAGGUGUGGUGCUUUUCCACCGGUGUGAUGGUGUGGUUUUGCUGUUCUUGCGUGUUGUUGGUCUCUAUUUUGUUUUGUGGGUUUUUGUUGCCUCCUGAGCUGUCUAUUUCUUUGUAUAAUUUCGUAGCAGGUGACUCUUCCUUUCAGAGACCAUAUGCCAGGUCAGCCACUUCAGAAGCAGACUAUGAGCUGGUUUGCUAGAAUUCCCCUAGCUAUGCCCAGCUUGUUUCCACCUCAGGGCCUUUGCACUGGUUUCUGUCUUUGUUGAUUCCCUUGUUGUUUUUCUUCUGUUCUUAAG